RNAcentral lists this transfer RNA (73 nucleotides) under Cordylochernes scorpioides. RNAcentral describes it as "tRNA-Thr". Lineage: Eukaryota; Metazoa; Arthropoda; Arachnida; Pseudoscorpiones; Chernetidae. The record is from RNAcentral.
GUCCAGGGAUGGGAAUCGAACCUACAUUGUUCCGCUUACCGGGCAGAUGCCAUGUCCACUAGGCUACCCUGGA